GAGCCGCCGCUCCAACUCUCGGUGGUGACGCAUCUCUACCCCAGCUGGACUCGUUUAGCGACCGAGAAGCUGUAGGACCUCUGACAGGGGAAGAAGUCUCAGCCCCAUAAUGUGACCCCCAAAUGUGGCACUGGCAGCACUGGAGUGAGAAGAGGAAGGGUCAGUAUUUCACCAGCUCACCUUUGUACCUCACCAUCAUGGCAACCCUGAGCACAGGUCCCCAUUUGCCUGCCUUGUUAGAUGUCCUCAAACCCUACCCUGUAGGACCCUAUGCUGGGUGUUUCUGGAGGAAGUAGAAAGAACAGGGCCACAGAGGGAACUUUCUGCUCAUUUCUUGUCACUUGCUCGGUGGCCCUGUCUAAGCCCCCUCCUGUGGGCAGUGAAGACCCAGAAAGGAGUCUGACCAAGCGUUGCAGAUGAGGACCCAAGCCAUAGCUCUCCGGCUCCCUGUCAUCAUCCUCCUCCUCCUGCACCUGCCGACUGCCUGGCCAUGCAGGGACAUGUGUAAACUUCAGCUACCCAAAUACAGAGGGCAUUUGUUCAGUGCUGAGUGCCAAGCCUUCUACUCCUUUGUCCACCUUUGUCUCUAAGGCCUGCCCAUUUCACAGAUGGAGAAACCGAGGCCAGGAGAGGGCAGGGUUCCCGAAUGCCUUGCAGUGUUGGAAAGGCUAAGUCUGAGAUUGGGGGCCACAGUGAUGUUAGGGACCCAGGACAGCCUCGCCCACCACCCUGGGCCUGGGGACUCCAGCCUCAUUCUCUCCUUCCCAGAACCCAUCCCUUGUCCCAGGCUUGGGGUCUCUGGAGGUUCUUGUGGGCCAGGGCUGUACCACCAGAGGGUCAUUGGCACCCCGCACCUGGCUGCCCAUACAGUAGCAGGGCCAG
Fukomys damarensis (Damara mole-rat) is the source of this 882-nucleotide long non-coding RNA. RefSeq lists it as uncharacterized. NCBI's taxonomy places the organism in Eukaryota, Metazoa, Chordata, Mammalia, Rodentia, Bathyergidae. The record is from RefSeq and is a predicted model, not a curated record. The transcript is spliced from 4 exons.